GGGAGCUUCGCAUGCGCGGAGCGAGGCCCGAUGUCGUCGGAGGAGAACAAGUGCGUGGAGCAGCCGCAGCCACCACCCCCCGAGGAGCCUGGAGCCCCGGCCCCGAGCCCCCCAGCCGCAGACAAAAGACCUCGGGGCCGGCCUCGCAAGGCGCUUCCCCUUUCCAGAGAGCCAGAAAGAAACUAUUUGGAGUUUUCCUGGUCUUACUGGAUGUCACUCUCGUCCUUGCCGACCUAAUUUUCACUGACAGCAAACUUUAUAUUCCUUCGGAGUAUCGUUCUAUUUCUCUAGCUAUUGCCUUAUUUUUUCUCAUGGAUGUUCUUCUUCGAGUAUUUGUAGA
This 340-nucleotide long non-coding RNA is filed under the name Homo sapiens (human). RNAcentral's name for it is "non-protein coding lnc-IL17RA-36:7". The record is from RNAcentral. Lineage: Eukaryota; Metazoa; Chordata; Mammalia; Primates; Hominidae.